Molecule: ribosomal RNA, 457 nt
Filed under: Mycoplasmoides genitalium
Lineage: Bacteria; Bacillati; Mycoplasmatota; Mycoplasmoidales; Mycoplasmoidaceae
Description: bacterial LSU rRNA
Rfam family: Bacterial large subunit ribosomal RNA
Source: RNAcentral
GUUUCUGCGCCGAAGAUUCAACGGGGCUAAGUGUAAUACCGAAGCUGCGGGCUACGCAAGUAGCGGUAGGCGAGUGUUCUAUGUGGGAUGAAGGUAGAUCGUGAGAACUAUUGGACCGCAUAGAAGUAAGAAUGCCGGCAUAAGUAACGUAUGGAAGUGAGAAUCUUCCAAGCCGUAUUGACCAAGGUUUCCAGGACGAGGUUCGUCCAUCCUGGGUUAGUCGGUCCUAAGGCGAGGCCGAAAGGCGUAGCUGAUGGAUAACAGGUUAAUAUUCCUGUACCAAUGUAUGAAUGAUGGAGUGACGGAGAAGGUUAUUGCAGGCCGGUUAUUGGAUUCCGGUUUAAGUGUCAAGUUUUGUAAGUUGGCAAAUCCGCUUAUUGUAAUGAUGAGGCACGAAUACGAACGAACCCUUCGGGUAGUAGUGAAGCUGCAUAUAUCAUGCUUCCAAGAAAAACUU